GUGGAUGGAGCCUGAGCUAGAGCAGGACCUGCAGGCCCGAGGCAGGGGGCUCCUGUCAUGGAUGCCUUUGGCUUCACGGUUUCCCCAAGGCUCUGUUGAGCCUUCCUUAGACAGCUGGACGACAGUCUAGGGCACCUCCUGCCUUCUCUACCUCUCUCCUUCACUUGGGAUCAGAUAGAAAAUUCUCCAGCCUUCCCUGACUCCCUAGUCCCCUCCUCUCCGCCCGCCCCCGCACAGGCAUAUUCCUCAAUAAUAUCCCUGCACGUGUAAUCCCAUCUUGGCAUCUAGCCUAACACAUCAAGAAGAAGGGAAGACGGAGGGAAUGCAGCCCGCGGAGCACAGGAGCCUCUUCUGUGACCUCCUAAAAUCAAGCCACUCAGGUACCCAGAUUUCCACUCGCCCUGCCUGCCCAAUAGAUACCCACUGCUUUUAGACAAAGGAAGACGACCGCUUUUAGAGGGUCUGAGUGGGCCCCCCAACGGCUGCCAGAAAACACUGGGCUGAAUCAACCAAAGUCAAGUCAAGAGCAGGAUUAGAUUUUCAGAUGGGUCAUGCUUUUCUUUAAAGUCUGACACUCAAGUAGAAGAAGUAAACUCUCAAACCAAUGAGUAGAAGUUAUAAAAACAACAGAUUUGUGUCCCAAUACAGGAAAGAAAUUUCCAUGGACUGUGUUUUCCACAAUGGGGUGCACAGGCUUUCCAGGAAGCAUUUGCUGACUCCUGAGUGUGUAGCAGUGAAGAAACAAGACAGAGUCCUUGCCUCAUGGAGGUCACAGUUGCAACAACAUUAUUUGAGAUGAUGGCUGCUCGAAUGACAUCAGUCCUGGAAAGAGGAGACGAGGAGCAGAGCUCCUUACAAAUCUACAGUGCAUUUGAAGGUGGAGAGAAAAACAGUCCAUCCAAGUUUGGAGAGAUUUGAAAAGCACUGUGCUUGGGAUUGCUGCUCUUAGAACACUGCCAGGAUAUGAGGUGUCCACCCUAGCCUGCUGGAGAAUGAGAGGCCAUGAGAGGAACAGAGGCGCCCCAGCUGCCAGUCAGCCAGCUUCAGAGCAGCUUGUCAGCUCACUGAACGCGUGAAUGAGCCUCAGAAGAGAUCAGCCCAACCUACACCAGAAAACCUGCCCAGCUGAGCCCAGCUCCAGAUUGCUGAUCCACAGAAUUAUGAGCAGCUCAGACAGAAAAUGAAUGAUUCUGGGGAAAAGAAAGCUGGACUCUAAGAUCCUCUCAAAGGCGAUGUGACCAGAUGAGAGAUCCCCUCACCAGAAUGUGCCAACCUGAGAUUAAACUUCAAACUCGCUGUUCUGACAUUUCCUUCUAUGAGAACAUCAUCUUACCUGGAUUCUGUCAAUGGUCUUUUGCUUACUGCCAAAGUAAAGCACUGCAGAACAUUUGGAAACUAUUGAAAAAUAAAGUCCUAGAAGUAGAAGAGCUGGGUCAAUGGAUACAUCCUUUUAAUGACACUGAAUACAUAUUGCCAAAUUGCCCUUAAGAAGAUCUCACUAUCAAAACAUUGAAGGGGUCAAUUACUUUGGAAACCUUCAAUCUAACUGCAAUUAUGACUGACCUCUUAAUAAAGGGAUGUAAAGUGUCAGGGAGCCAGUGAGGGAGAUUCCUAUGGUGCCACCUUCCCCCGGCCACGAGAAACCACUGCUCAUCUGCCAGCCUCACAGCCAGAGCCACUUCAGCUACCAUCCCAGAAAAGUCCACCUAUCAGGAUUCUGGGCAUUUUCCUCAGAGACCCCUGGGCUUCCUUUCUAAAUAAAUGGUUCAUUCACC
Long non-coding RNA from Canis lupus familiaris (dog), 1775 nucleotides. RefSeq lists it as uncharacterized. The record is from RefSeq and is a predicted model, not a curated record. NCBI's taxonomy places the organism in Eukaryota, Metazoa, Chordata, Mammalia, Carnivora, Canidae. The transcript has 11 exons.